RNAcentral lists this ribosomal RNA (465 nucleotides) under uncultured bacterium. RNAcentral describes it as "partial 16S ribosomal RNA". It matches the Rfam family "Bacterial small subunit ribosomal RNA", at positions 28 to 507 of the family's 1533-position model. The record is from RNAcentral.
GACGAACGCUGGCGGCGUGCUUAACACAUGCAAGUCGAGCGAGGCCCCUCCUUCGGGAGGGUGUCCUAGCGGCGAACGGGUGAGUAACACGUGGGCAACCUGCCCUCAGCUCUGGGAUAACUCCGGGAAACCGGGGCUAAUACCGGAUACGACCUCCACGGGCAUCUGCGGAGGUGGAAAGGUUUUCGGCUGAGGAUGGGCCCGCGGCCUAUCAGCUAGUUGGUGGGGUAGUGGCCAACCAAGGCGACGACGGGUACCCGGCCUGAGCGGGCAACCGGCCAAGCUGGGACUGAGACACGGCCCAGCCUCCUACGGGAGGCAGCAGUGGGGAAUAUUGCGCCAUGGGCGGAAGCCUGACGCAGCGAAGCCGCGUGAGGGACGAAGGCCUUCGGGUUGUAAACCUCUUUCAGCAGGGACGAAGCGAAAGUGACGGUAGCUGCAGAAGAAGCACCGGCCAACUACGUG